RNAcentral lists this ribosomal RNA (1253 nucleotides) under Vibrio harveyi. RNAcentral's name for it is "bacterial SSU rRNA". It matches the Rfam family "Bacterial small subunit ribosomal RNA", at positions 100 to 1351 of the family's 1533-position model. Lineage: Bacteria; Pseudomonadati; Pseudomonadota; Gammaproteobacteria; Vibrionales; Vibrionaceae. The record is from RNAcentral.
GACGGGUGAGUAAUGCCUAGGAAAUUGCCCUGAUGUGGGGGAUAACCAUUGGAAACGAUGGCUAAUACCGCAUAAUACCUACGGGUCAAAGAGGGGGACCUUCGGGCCUCUCGCGUCAGGAUAUGCCUAGGUGGGAUUAGCUAGUUGGUGAGGUAAUGGCUCACCAAGGCGACGAUCCCUAGCUGGUCUGAGAGGAUGAUCAGCCACACUGGAACUGAGACACGGUCCAGACUCCUACGGGAGGCAGCAGUGGGGAAUAUUGCACAAUGGGCGCAAGCCUGAUGCAGCCAUGCCGCGUGUGUGAAGAAGGCCUUCGGGUUGUAAAGCACUUUCAGUCGUGAGGAAGGUAGUGUAGUUAAUAGCUGCAUUAUUUGACGUUAGCGACAGAAGAAGCACCGGCUAACUCCGUGCCAGCAGCCGCGGUAAUACGGAGGGUGCGAGCGUUAAUCGGAAUUACUGGGCGUAAAGCGCAUGCAGGUGGUUUGUUAAGUCAGAUGUGAAAGCCCGGGGCUCAACCUCGGAAUAGCAUUUGAAACUGGCAGACUAGAGUACUGUAGAGGGGGGUAGAAUUUCAGGUGUAGCGGUGAAAUGCGUAGAGAUCUGAAGGAAUACCGGUGGCGAAGGCGGCCCCCUGGACAGAUACUGACACUCAGAUGCGAAAGCGUGGGGAGCAAACAGGAUUAGAUACCCUGGUAGUCCACGCCGUAAACGAUGUCUACUUGGAGGUUGUGGCCUUGAGCCGUGGCUUUCGGAGCUAACGCGUUAAGUAGACCGCCUGGGGAGUACGGUCGCAAGAUUAAAACUCAAAUGAAUUGACGGGGGCCCGCACAAGCGGUGGAGCAUGUGGUUUAAUUCGAUGCAACGCGAAGAACCUUACCUACUCUUGACAUCCAGAGAACUUUCCAGAGAUGGAUUGGUGCCUUCGGGAACUCUGAGACAGGUGCUGCAUGGCUGUCGUCAGCUCGUGUUGUGAAAUGUUGGGUUAAGUCCCGCAACGAGCGCAACCCUUAUCCUUGUUUGCCAGCACUUCGGGUGGGAACUCCAGGGAGACUGCCGGUGAUAAACCGGAGGAAGGUGGGGACGACGUCAAGUCAUCAUGGCCCUUACGAGUAGGGCUACACACGUGCUACAAUGGCGCAUACAGAGGGCGGCCAACUUGCGAGAGUGAGCGAAUCCCAAAAAGUGCGUCGUAGUCCGGAUCGGAGUCUGCAACUCGACUCCGUGAAGUCGGAAUCGCUAGUAAUCGUGGAUCA